RNAcentral lists this long non-coding RNA (1775 nucleotides) under Scleropages formosus (Asian bonytongue). Its description in RNAcentral is "lncRNA (ENSSFOG00015026006.1)". Lineage: Eukaryota; Metazoa; Chordata; Actinopteri; Osteoglossiformes; Osteoglossidae. The record is from RNAcentral.
UGCUGGGUUAGGCUCCGGUUCACCACAACCCUGCUUGGGACCAGUGGCUUCAGACAAUGUGUGGGUGUGUGAUUUUCUCGAUGUUUGAACAAUAAGGCAGGAACUCUACAUUUUUUUUUUAUUUAAACAAUGGCCAAACCUUUUCUGGCAGGGGAUCAUUUAUUUUUCUCUGUUAAUGGCAUGAGGUGUUCAUUGUAGUAAAAUAUUUUCCUGAGCAAUUCUGAAACUUAAGCAAUACUGGACGAAGUGUUUUGCAUUGAUUUAUUUUGAUGACUAUUUUCUACAAAGUGAUGUAAUUAUUUAACCAUUUAGGCAGCUGGGUAAUUUUACUAGAGCUAUUUAUACAGUAAAUACACACACACUCUAUGAAGCUGCUUGCCCCAAGUGGGGUCACGGUGAGCCAGAGCCCAACCCAACACACGGCGCAGGGCUGGAGGGGAAGGGGACACACCCAGGACAGGACGCCAGUCUGCCGCAAGGCACCUCAAGUGGGACUCGAACCCCAGACCUGCCGGAGAGAGCAGGGCCCAGCCAAACCCGCUGCCCCGCCAUACCCCCUUUAUACAUGCUCAAAAGCAAUACAGCUGAAGUAUCUGUCUUAUCCAAAAUGCAACUGCUGGUGUGGAUUUUAACCUCCCAAGAUGAACACAUCAGAACCUCCCUCCAGUGACUGCUGGUGCAAUUUAGGUAAGAUUUAAAACCCAAACCUUUGCCUGUUACCAAGUAAACAUUUGUAUUACUGCAUAUUCUAAGGAACAUGUAAAAGGAACGACCAGCAAGCAGAUGGAUGGACUCAACUACAAUGGAUACACCACUUUCAGGACACAAAGUGGUAAAUAGAAGACCUGAGAGUACGGUAUCUAUAUGUGGUCACCAAAGCUGACUUGACCAUACUUAACAGUAAAUGCACCGUAGUCAUGCUAUUUAGUUCAGAAUCAUGCAGCCUGGAGUUUCUACGUGACAUCUGUUGGAGAUACUUAUCACUAACAUUGUUAAGUGCCUCACUGGUGAAACAUUUACAUUUAUUUUGCUGAUGCUUUUUCCCAAAGGAAUUUACAGUAAUCUAUCCACCUGGGAAAUUCUUACUGGAGCAAUUUAGGGUAAGCAUCUUGUUCAAGGGUAUUACAGAAGGAGGUCAGAUUCAAAGCUGCAUCCCCCGAGUCUAGAUGCAGUGACUCUAAUCUCUACACUGUGUUACUUAUAGAGGUACUUAUCCUGCAUUUUUUUCAGUAAAAUGACCAUACUGUAUAAAUGGGUAAAUCACUGUAAUUACUUUAAUAACAGUGAUUCACCUUGGGCAAAGGUGCAAGUUCAAUGAUUAUUUUCAACGAAACUGCACAUACAGUGGUGCUGGAGGUAAAUGUAAAGUGCUGAGAUUAAAUUAAAGUAAAAAGAUAAAGUCCACGCCGUCGAAAACCCAAAUUAUUAGCUCAUCAUGCUACAAUCCCAGUGGUUUAGUUAUUCAUACAAAUGUUUUUGUUGGUGAACAGCUAACUGUACAAAAACACUAAGCCUAAUGAACUGUUGAAACGUCCACUUAAAACGUUUUUUAAAAGAGGAUUGCGUGGCAGUGGAGCGGUGUUCGUGAGAAAGCCAUUGAGGUUGCGUGCAAGGAGAUCUUACACGGGAACUAUGCACAUUUUUUUUCUGCGGUUGCGUGUGGAGCGUGUGCCAAAGUCGCUCCAGCGAGGAAGUGGAAUGACAGCUGUGUGGGCCAAUCGUAUCGCCCGUCAAAGAAUAAUAAAGAAAUGAACCAAUGAGUGUCGCCGAGCUGC